CCUACGGGGGGCAGCAGUGGGGAAUAUUGCACAAUGGGGGAAACCCUGAUGCAGCGACGCCGCGUGAGUGAAGAAGUAAUUCGUUAUGUAAAGCUCUAUCAGCAGGGAAGAAAAUGACGGUACCUGAGUAAGAAUCCCCGGCUAACUACGUGCCAGCAGCCGCGGUAAUACGUAGGGGGCAAGCGUUAUCCGGAUUUACUGGUGGUAAAGGGAGCGUAGACGGCAGUGCAAGUCUGGAGUGAAAGGCGUGGGCUCAACCCACGGACUGCUCUGGAAACUGUACGGCUGGAGUGCAGGAGAGGUAAGUGGAAUUCCUAGUGUAGCGGUGAAAUGCGUAGAUAUUAGGAGGAACACCAGUGGCGAAGGCGGCUUACUGGACUGUAACUGACGUUGAGGCUCGAAAGCGUGGGGAGCAAACAGGAUUAGAUACCCCAGUAGUC
RNAcentral lists this ribosomal RNA (440 nucleotides) under uncultured bacterium. Its description in RNAcentral is "partial 16S ribosomal RNA". It matches the Rfam family "Bacterial small subunit ribosomal RNA", at positions 338 to 795 of the family's 1533-position model. The record is from RNAcentral.